Molecule: long non-coding RNA, 343 nt
Organism: Camponotus floridanus (Florida carpenter ant)
Lineage: Eukaryota; Metazoa; Arthropoda; Insecta; Hymenoptera; Formicidae
Exons: 3
Source: RefSeq, a predicted model, not a curated record
AAUGUGAACGUGUGUACUACCGUAUGUGUCGCGAUUCACCUGUUGUAACACCUGAUGCAUCCUCCAAAGCUCCGCGCUUCCCUCGUCUCGACGGGUGCUUAAUAAUCACGCACAAAAGCAUUGCUUCGACGAUUCAAUCUAAUUAACUGGAGUAGCUAACCGGUAGGACAAUUAUAACCAUAUUCCAUAAUGGAGCCGCACGAAAUAAUGUCCUUAAGAGGAUCUUAUUAGCUAACAGCUAUGAGAAGAUGAAGUAGAUUGCAGACAGGAUCGAACCUCAAGACACAAGGAAGAGUCAGAGAAAGGAGAGGGUGGAAAGAGAUAGGGGAUGAAAAGAGAUCGC